Molecule: ribosomal RNA, 497 nt
Filed under: uncultured bacterium
Lineage: Bacteria
Description: partial 16S ribosomal RNA
Rfam family: Bacterial small subunit ribosomal RNA
Source: RNAcentral
GACGAACGCUGGCGGCGUGCCUAAUACAUGCAAGUUGAGCGCUGAAGGUUGGUACUUGUACCAACUGGAUGAGCAGCGAACGGGUGAGUAACGCGUGGGGAAUCUGCCUUUGAGCGGGGGACAACAUUUGGAAACGAAUGCUAAUACCGCAUAAAAACUUUAAACACAAGUUUUAAGUUUGAAAGAUGCAAUUGCAUCACUCAAAGAUGAUCCCGCGUUGUGUUAGCUAGUUGGUGAGGUAAAGGCUCACCAAGGCGAUGAUACAUAGCCGACCUGAGAGGGUGAUCGGCCACAUUGGGACUGCGACACGGCCCAAACUCCUACGGGAGGCAGCAGUAGGGAAUCUUCGGCAAUGGACGAAAGUCUGACCGAGCAACGCCGCGUGAGUGAAGAAGGUUUUCGGAUCGUAAAACUCUGUUGGUAGAGAAGAACGUUGGUGAGAGUGGAAAGCUCAUCAAGUGACGGUAACUACCCAGAAAGGGACGGCUAACUACGUG